RNAcentral lists this transfer RNA (65 nucleotides) under uncultured Anaerotignum sp. The stretch from base 4 to 61 matches the Rfam family "tRNA", at positions 7 to 64 of the family's 71-position model. Rfam says of the family: Transfer RNA (tRNA) molecules are approximately 80 nucleotides in length. Their secondary structure includes four short double-helical elements and three loops (D, anti-codon, and T loops). Lineage: Bacteria; Bacillati; Bacillota; Clostridia; Lachnospirales; Anaerotignaceae. The record is from RNAcentral.
UCAGUGGUUUAAUGGCAGAACAUUAGCCUUCCAAGCUGAAAGGGAUGGUUCGAUUCCCUUCCCUU